UAGCUCAGUGGUAGAGCACUUGCCUAGCAAGCACAAGGCCCUGGGUUCGAUCCUCAG
Molecule: transfer RNA, 57 nt
Filed under: Peromyscus maniculatus bairdii (prairie deer mouse)
Lineage: Eukaryota; Metazoa; Chordata; Mammalia; Rodentia; Cricetidae
Rfam family: tRNA
About the family: Transfer RNA (tRNA) molecules are approximately 80 nucleotides in length. Their secondary structure includes four short double-helical elements and three loops (D, anti-codon, and T loops).
Source: Rfam by way of RNAcentral